This 349-nucleotide ribosomal RNA is filed under the name uncultured bacterium. Its description in RNAcentral is "bacterial SSU rRNA". It matches the Rfam family "Bacterial small subunit ribosomal RNA", at positions 32 to 370 of the family's 1533-position model. The record is from RNAcentral.
AAUCAACGCUGGCGGCGUGCCUCAGACAUGCAAGUCGAACGAUUAAACUUUCCUUCGGGGAAGAUAUAGAGUGGCGCACGGGUGAGUAACACGUAAGUAAUCUACCCUUGGGUGGGGAAUAACAUCGGGAAACCGAUGCUAAUACCGCAUAAUGCAGCGGCUUCUUAUGAAGACAGUUGUUAAAGCAUUUAUGUGCCUGAGGAGGAGCUUGCGGCAGAUUAGCAGUUGGUAAGGUAAUGGCUUACCAAGGCGACGAUCUGUAGCCGACCUGAGAGGGUGGUCGGUCACACUGACACUGAAUAACGGGUCAGACUCCGUACGGGAGGCAGCAGGUCGGGUAAGUUUUGGG